UACGAGAGGCCCAAACGUUAUUCGGAUUUACUGGGCUUAAAGAGUUCGUAGGCGGCUUGGUAAGUGGGGUGUGAAAGCCCUCGGCUCAACCGAGGAAUUGCGCUCCAAACUACCGAGCUUGAGUAGGCUAGAGGUGAGCAGAACUGAUGGUGGAGCGGUGAAAUGCGUUGAUAUCAUCAGGAAUGCCGGAGGCGAAGGCGGCUCACUGGGACCUAACUGACGCUGAGGAACGAAAGCUAGGGGAGCAAACGGG
RNAcentral lists this ribosomal RNA (253 nucleotides) under uncultured bacterium. Its description in RNAcentral is "partial 16S ribosomal RNA". It matches the Rfam family "Bacterial small subunit ribosomal RNA", at positions 524 to 776 of the family's 1533-position model. The record is from RNAcentral.